This 400-nucleotide ribosomal RNA is filed under the name uncultured bacterium. Its description in RNAcentral is "bacterial SSU rRNA". It matches the Rfam family "Bacterial small subunit ribosomal RNA", at positions 359 to 776 of the family's 1533-position model. The record is from RNAcentral.
GAAUAUUGGACAAUGGGGGCAACCCUGAUCCAGCAAUGCCGCGUGGAUGAUGAAGGCCUUCGGGUUGUAAAAUCCUUUUCUGCGGGAAGAUAAUGACGGUACCGCAGGAAUAAGUUCCGGCUAACUACGUGCCAGCAGCCGCGGUAAAACGUAGGGGACAAGCGUUAUCCGGAUUUACUGGGCGUAAAGCGCCCGUAGGCGGCCUUUCAAGUUGGAUGUGAAAGCUCCUGGCUUAACUGGGAGAGGUCAUUCAAAACUGGGGGGCUAGAGGAUGGAAGAGGAGGGCGGAAUUCCCGGUGUAGUGGUGGAAUGCGUAGAGAUCGGGAGGAACACCAGUGGCGAAAGCGGCUCUCUGGUCCGUACCUGACGCUGAGGGGCGAAAGCGUGGGGAGCGAACGGG